UGCAGUCGAGCGGCAGCACGGGUACUUGUACCUGGUGGCGAGCGGCGGACGGGUGAGUAAUGCCUAGGAAUCUGCCUGGUAGUGGGGGAUAACGCUCGGAAACGGACGCUAAUACCGCAUACGUCCUACGGGAGAAAGCAGGGGACCUUCGGGCCUUGCGCUAUCAGAUGAGCCUAGGUCGGAUUAGCUAGUUGGUGAGGUAAUGGCUCACCAAGGCGACGAUCCGUAACUGGUCUGAGAGGAUGAUCAGUCACACUGGAACUGAGACACGGUCCAGACUCCUACGGGAGGCAGCAGUGGGGAAUAUUGGACAAUGGGCGAAAGCCUGAUCCAGCCAUGCCGCGUGUGUGAAGAAGGUCUUCGGAUUGUAAAGCACUUUAAGUUGGGAGGAAGGGCAGUUACCUAAUACGUAUCUGUUUUGACGUUACCGACAGAAUAAGCACCGGCUAACUCUGUG
Molecule: ribosomal RNA, 457 nt
Filed under: Pseudomonas sp.
Lineage: Bacteria; Pseudomonadati; Pseudomonadota; Gammaproteobacteria; Pseudomonadales; Pseudomonadaceae
Description: bacterial SSU rRNA
Rfam family: Bacterial small subunit ribosomal RNA
Source: RNAcentral